Non-coding RNA from Ascosphaera pollenicola, 102 nucleotides. Lineage: Eukaryota; Fungi; Ascomycota; Eurotiomycetes; Onygenales; Ascosphaeraceae. The record is from the annotation of a GenBank genome assembly.
GGCCUCGUGGCCCAAUGGCAAGGCGCUUGACUACGAUACACAAAGUCGGUUGCAAAACCAGUUGACAUCAAGAGAUUCUGGGUUCGACCCCCAGCGAGGUCA